Molecule: transfer RNA, 72 nt
Filed under: Marmota monax (woodchuck)
Lineage: Eukaryota; Metazoa; Chordata; Mammalia; Rodentia; Sciuridae
Description: tRNA.Ala
Source: RNAcentral
GUUGGGGGUAGCUCAAGGGUACAGAGUUUGCCUAGCAUGCAUGAGGCCUUGGGUUCAAUCUCCAGCUCCACA